Molecule: ribosomal RNA, 590 nt
Filed under: Streptomyces sp. CATR-40
Lineage: Bacteria; Bacillati; Actinomycetota; Actinomycetes; Kitasatosporales; Streptomycetaceae
Description: bacterial SSU rRNA
Rfam family: Bacterial small subunit ribosomal RNA
Source: RNAcentral
GCGACGACGGGUAGCCGGCCUGAGAGGGCGACCGGCCACACUGGGACUGAGACACGGCCCAGACUCCUACGGGAGGCAGCAGUGGGGAAUAUUGCACAAUGGGCGAAAGCCUGAUGCAGCGACGCCGCGUGAGGGAUGACGGCCUUCGGGUUGUAAACCUCUUUCAGCAGGGAAGAAGCGAAAGUGACGGUACCUGCAGAAGAAGCGCCGGCUAACUACGUGCCAGCAGCCGCGGUAAUACGUAGGGCGCAAGCGUUGUCCGGAAUUAUUGGGCGUAAAGAGCUCGUAGGCGGCUUGUCGCGUCGGUUGUGAAAGCCCGGGGCUUAACCCCGGGUCUGCAGUCGAUACGGGCAGGCUAGAGUUCGGUAGGGGAGAUCGGAAUUCCUGGUGUAGCGGUGAAAUGCGCAGAUAUCAGGAGGAACACCGGUGGCGAAGGCGGAUCUCUGGGCCGAUACUGACGCUGAGGAGCGAAAGCGUGGGGAGCGAACAGGAUUAGAUACCCUGGUAGUCCACGCCGUAAACGGUGGGCACUAGGUGUGGGCGACAUUCCACGUCGUCCGUGCCGCAGCUAACGCAUUAAGUGCCCCGCG